Molecule: ribosomal RNA, 486 nt
Filed under: Pseudomonas fluorescens
Lineage: Bacteria; Pseudomonadati; Pseudomonadota; Gammaproteobacteria; Pseudomonadales; Pseudomonadaceae
Description: bacterial SSU rRNA
Rfam family: Bacterial small subunit ribosomal RNA
Source: RNAcentral
UUGAACGCUGGCGGCAGGCCUAACACAUGCAAGUCGAGCGGUAGAGAGGUGCUUGCACCUCUUGAGAGCGGCGGACGGGUGAGUAAAGCCUAGGAAUCUGCCUGGUAGUGGGGGAUAACGCUCGGAAACGGACGCUAAUACCGCAUACGUCCUACGGGAGAAAGCAGGGGACCUUCGGGCCUUGCGCUAUCAAAUGAGCCUAGGUCGGAUUAGCUAGUUGGUGAGGUAAUGGCUCACCAAGGCGACAAUCCGUAACUGGUCUGAAAGGAUGAUCAGUCACACUGGAACUGAAACACGGUCCAAACUCCUACGGGAGGCAGCAGUGGGGAAUAUUGGACAAUGGGCGAAAGCCUGAUCCAGCCAUGCCGCGUGUGUGAAAAAGGUCUUCGGAUUGUAAAGCACUUUAAGUUGGGAGGAAGGGCAUUAACCUAAUACGUUAGUGUUUUGACGUUACCGACAGAAUAAGCACCGGCUAACUCUGUGCCA